Long non-coding RNA from Hyla sarda, 1466 nucleotides. RefSeq lists it as uncharacterized. The record is from RefSeq and is a predicted model, not a curated record. The transcript is spliced from 2 exons. Lineage: Eukaryota; Metazoa; Chordata; Amphibia; Anura; Hylidae.
UAUUGGAAGGAUUAAGAUUUUUUUUAAUAGAAGGAAUUUACAAAUCUAGAUAACUUUCUGGCACAAAAUGAUUUAAAAAAAAGUUUUCCACCGGAGUGCUCCUUUAAGCUACCGGUACAGCUGUCAGAUGAGCGUUCAUUUCGGUCGACAGCUAUUCCUAGUAAACUCUCAUAUACGUGCACAAUCGUUUCAACCAGAUGUCCGUGUGUUCUUAAUAGGAAGAGAAGAAUAAGCCGCUGCUAGACUACUGUGGUUGUGGGUUAUCUACCUUGGGACAAAAGGAUCAGGUGGCUUUCAUGCUGCCUGAACCACAGGUCCUCAGGGUGGUCCCUAUGGCAAUCAGGGUGGACCCUGGUAGGCAGCAUGAAAGUUUCAGGUUCCUAUGAACAUCACACCAUACACAUUAGACCAGUGUUUCCCAACCUGUGUGCCUCCAGCUGUUGCAAAACAAAAGCUCCCAGAAAACCCGGACAGCUAAAGGCUGAAAUAUUAUUCAAGUAAUCCGCUAAAAUUAGCAGCAAGGAACAGCAGAAACUCAAGUAUCAGACGAAGGCAGAAUAAUCACUUUUAUAGAUAAAGAAGAAAUUCAAGGGUCUAUUCACAUGUUGCAGUUUCAUUAUAGGUCACGGUAAAAAAAAAUAAAGAUAAAUAAAAAUAUGAGGCUUUUCACAACUGAUUUAAAGGGGUAAUGACCCCCUUGGAGCGAGUCCACAUUUAGCAGCUUUGUUGUGGGUUUUACCACAAUUUUCGCCCUAAGUACAGCUAUGUAUCAAAUUGACAAAAUGACCCAUGGUGGCUUCUGGGCAGAUUUUAGACCCCAUGGACAUCAGAUAAAGGAGUUAUCCAGGCUUGACCUAUCCUCGGGUUUAGAUCAGUGGGGGUCCGACUCUAACCCCCCGCCAUUGGCUAUUUAGCACCCAAUCACACUAAGUAUUUUACAAGCAGAAUUGUGCUCCAGAAAUCCACUCGGAAAUUACAUUGUAGCAGCCUUCCAUUGUUUUCAAUAGGAUUCUGCUGCACCAUUCCAGAUCCCAGGCUCUGCCGAAAGAAUGUUCAUUAUUUGGCGGGACCCGCUUGGAAAUGUAUUGCUGUCUAUAGAGAUGGCGUGUUUUUUUGAGAGCGGUCCUAGCGCAGGAAUAUCUUGUCAGUGCCCUAUUUGUGGAAUGUCCGUCCAUGUUUUCCCGGGCAGACGUUCCGCAAUAUUUCCGCCAUGUGAACAUGCCUAAUUAAGAAUUAAAGGGAUUAUCCAGGGAUAGAAAAGCAGAACUCAAAAUUUUUGGGUAGUGUGAAUAGACCCUUAUUGUUUACAUCAGGUUUGUAUUCGCACACAUCAUACUUUCUCUACUGUAGCAAUGCCUCAUUGCGCUGUGAUCUCUUUAAAUAGGUGCUGGGUGUCGGACCUUCCCCAGAUCUCAACUUUCUAAAAAUUCUAUAAAAAAAAAAAAAAAUCCCUUUAAAAACACGAC